RNAcentral lists this ribosomal RNA (482 nucleotides) under uncultured bacterium. Its description in RNAcentral is "partial 16S ribosomal RNA". It matches the Rfam family "Bacterial small subunit ribosomal RNA", at positions 28 to 507 of the family's 1533-position model. The record is from RNAcentral.
GAUGAACGCUAGCGGCAGGCCUAAUACAUGCAAGUCGGACGGGAUUCAGGAGCUUGCUUCUGAUGAGAGUGGCGCACGGGUGCGUAACACGUAUGUAACCUACCUUUAUCAGGGGGAUAGCCUCUCGAAAGAGAGAUUAAGCCCGCAUAAAAUCACAGCACAGCAUUGUGUAAUGAUCAAAUAUUUAUAGGAUAAAGAUGGGCAUGCGGAACAUUAGCUAGAUGGCGGGGUAACGGCCCACCAUGGCGACGAUGUUUAGGGGAUCUGAGAGGAUGGCCCCCCACGCUGGUACUGAGACACGGACCAGACUCCUACGGGAGGCAGCAGUAAGGAAUAUUGGUCAAUGGGCGGAAGCCUGAACCAGCCAUGCCGCGUGCAGGAAGACGGCCCUACGGGUUGUAAACUGCUUUUAUACGGGAAUAAACCCAGAUACGUGUAUCUGGCUGAAUGUACUGUAAGAAUAAGGAUCGGCUAACUCCGUG